This 270-nucleotide ribosomal RNA is filed under the name uncultured archaeon. RNAcentral's name for it is "partial 16S ribosomal RNA". It matches the Rfam family "Archaeal small subunit ribosomal RNA", at positions 477 to 747 of the family's 1478-position model. The record is from RNAcentral.
CGGCAGCCCGAGUGGUGAUCACUAUUAUUGGGCCUAAAACGUCCGUAGCCUGUUUGGUAAAUGCUUGGGUAAAUCGUGUGGCUUAACCAUACGAAUACCGGGUAGACUGCCAGACUUGAGACCGGGAGAGGUUGGAGGUACUCCUGGGGUAGAGGUGAAAUUCUGUAAUCCUGGGGGGACCACCAGUGGCGAAGGCGUCCAACCAGAACGGGUCUGACGGUGAGGGACGAAGCCCUGGGGCGCAAACCGGAUUAGAGACCCGAGUAGUCC